UACGAAGGGGGCUAGCGUUGCUCGGAAUCACUGGGCGUAAAGCGCACGUAGGCGGCUUUUUAAGUCAGGGGUGAAAUCCUGGAGCUCAACUCCAGAACUGCCUUUGAUACUGAGAAGCUUGAGUCCGGGAGAGGAGCGUGGAAUUCCCAGUGUAGAGGUGAAAUUCGUAGAUAUUGGGAAGAACACCGGUGGCGAAGGCGGCGCUCUGGACCGAGACUGACGCUGAGGCGCGAAAGCGUGGGGAGCAAACAGG
This 253-nucleotide ribosomal RNA is filed under the name uncultured bacterium. RNAcentral's name for it is "partial 16S ribosomal RNA". It matches the Rfam family "Bacterial small subunit ribosomal RNA", at positions 524 to 776 of the family's 1533-position model. The record is from RNAcentral.